CGUCAAUUCUAAGAAAUAUCCGUAUUUGUAUAACAACAUUUUUGUAUCAAAUGAUUAAUGGUGUUGAUAUAAAACGUAUUUAUAUGAGAGUAUUAUCCUAUAGGUAGGAGAAAAUAAAACGUGCUUUAAAUACAAAGUUCACCAUAUAUAUUUUUUUACGGUAGAGGAUAUAAUUUUUAAAAUGAACACAUACAACAAGACAUGCACAUGAAAAAGUGGGGGAAAACAUGCAACAAAAGCGCGAUUAAAUGACAC
This 255-nucleotide long non-coding RNA is filed under the name Mytilus galloprovincialis (Mediterranean mussel). The record is from RNAcentral. Lineage: Eukaryota; Metazoa; Mollusca; Bivalvia; Mytilida; Mytilidae.